RNAcentral lists this non-coding RNA (24 nucleotides) under Arabidopsis thaliana (thale cress). The record is from RNAcentral. Lineage: Eukaryota; Viridiplantae; Streptophyta; Magnoliopsida; Brassicales; Brassicaceae.
AGGCAUCUGUUGAAAGCCAAUGGA